Molecule: ribosomal RNA, 436 nt
Filed under: uncultured bacterium
Lineage: Bacteria
Description: partial 16S ribosomal RNA
Rfam family: Bacterial small subunit ribosomal RNA
Source: RNAcentral
AGCGAACGCUGGCGGCAGGCUUAACACAUGCAAGUCGAGCGGGCAUCCUUGUGGUGUCAGCGGCAGACGGGUGAGUAACGCGUGGGAACGUGCCCUUCGGUUCGGAAUAACUCAGGGAAACUUGAGCUAAUACCGGAUACGCCCUUUUGGGGAAAGGUUUGCUGCCGAAGGAUCGGCCCGCGUCUGAUUAGCUAGUUGGUGAGGUUAUGGCUCACCAAGGCGACGAUCAGUAGCUGGUCUGAGAGGAUGAUCAGCCACACUGGGACUGAGACACGGCCCAGACUCCUACGGGAGGCAGCAGUGGGGAAUAUUGGACAAUGGGGGCAACCCUGAUCCAGCCAUGCCGCGUGAGUGAUGACGGCCUUAGGGUUGUAAAGCUCUUUUCUCCGGGACGAUAAUGACGGUACCGGAGGAAUAAGCCCCGGCUAACUUCGUG